Molecule: ribosomal RNA, 481 nt
Filed under: uncultured bacterium
Lineage: Bacteria
Description: partial 16S ribosomal RNA
Rfam family: Bacterial small subunit ribosomal RNA
Source: RNAcentral
GACGAACGCUGGCGGCGUGCUUAACACAUGCAAGUCGAGCGGAAAGGCCACUUCGGUGGUACUCGAGCGGCGAACGGGUGAGUAACACGUGAGUAAUCUGCCCCUGGCUUUGGGAUAGCCACCGGAAACGGUGAUUAAUACCGGAUACGACCACUUCUCGCAUGGGAUGGUGGUGGAAAGUUUUUUCGGCCAGGGAUGCGCUCGCGGCCUAUCAGCUUGAUGGUGAGGUAAUGGCUCACCGUGGCUUCGACGGGUAGCCGGCCUGAGAGGGUGACCGGUCACACUGGGACUGAGACACGGCCCAGACUCCUACGGGAGGCAGCAGUGGGGAAUAUUGGACAAUGGGCGGAAGCCUGAUCCAGCAACGCCGCGUGAGGGAUGACGGCCUUCGGGUUGUAAACCUCUUUCAGCAGGGACGAAGCGCAAGUGACGGUACCUGCAGAAGAAGCACCGGCCAACUACGUGCCAGCCGCCGCAGUAA